GGGUGCAAUCAUACUAGCGUUAAUGCACCCGAUCCCAUCAGAACUCCGCAGUUAAGCGCGCUUGGGAUAGAGUAGAACUGGGAUGGGUGACCUCCCAGGAAGUCCUAGUGUUGCACCCU
Picea glauca (white spruce) is the source of this 119-nucleotide non-coding RNA. The record is from Rfam. Lineage: Eukaryota; Viridiplantae; Streptophyta; Pinopsida; Pinales; Pinaceae.